UGAGAAACGGCUACCACAUCUAAGGAAGGCAGCAGGCGCGUAACUUACCCACUCCCAGUUCAGGGAGGUAGUGACAAUAAAUACCUUACAGAGGUCUCGUUAACCGAGAUCUCUCAAACGGAAUGAGUACAACGUGAAUCCUUUAACGAGGAUCGACUGGAGGGCAAGCCUGGUGCCAGCAGCCGCGGUAAUUCCAGCUCCAGUAGCGUAUAUUAAAGCUGUUGCGGUUAAAAAGCUCGUAGUUGGAUAUCAGUGCGUGUCCGGUCCGGUAUGCCUGGCGGUGUCGCUCGCGCGUCACUGCUGGGCUCCCAAAUAUCGGCUGGCCGCAUUCAAUCGUGCCGGAUCCGUCGGCGGGCCGUUCUUCGGAGGGGCCUGUUGGCGGCCGGCGACGUUACCUUGAACAAAUUAGAGUGCUCAAAGCAGGCUCUGUAUGCCUGUAUACAUAUUCAUGGAAUUGGAGAAUACGUCCCUGGCUCGAUUUGGUUGGUUUUGAGAGUCGAAGGGAAAUGAUUAAUAGGGACUGACGGAGGCAUUCGUAUUGCGACGCGAGGGGUGAAAUCCUGUGACCGUCGCACGACGAACUACUGCGAAAGCAUUUGCCGAGAAUGUUUUCAUUAGUCAAGAACGAAAGUUAGAGGUUCGAAGGCGAUCAGAUACCGCCCUAGUUCUAACCGUAAACGAUGUCGACCAGCAAUCCGCAACGGUCACUACACGGACUGUGCGGGCAGCUUCCCCGGGGAAACCAGAGUUUUUGGACUCCGGGGGAAGUAUGGUUGCAAAGCUGAAACUUAAAGGAAUUGACGGAAGGGCACCACCAGGAGUGGAGCUUGCGGCUUAAUUUGACUCAACACGGGACAACUCACCAGGCCCGGACACCGUAAGGAUUGACAGACUGACAGCUCUCUCUUGAUUCAGUGGGUGGUGGUGCAUGGCCGUUCUUAGUUGGUGGAGUGAUUUGUCUGGUUUAUUCCGAUAACGAACGAGACUCUGGCCUAUUAAACUUGACACUGUCAGUCUCUUGUGACUGCGGUGCGCUUCUUAGAGGGAUCAUCGGCGUCCCAGCCGAAGGAAAGGGAGCAAUAACAGGUCUGUGAUGCCCUUAGAUGUUCUGGGCUGCACGCGUGUUACACUGAAGUGGUCAGCGCGCCGUUCAACACCCCUCUCCGUGAGGAGCUUGGGCAAACGUUUGAACCCUUUUCGUGAUGGGAAUUGGGGGUUGCAAUUGUCCCCCAUGAACGAGGAAUUCCAAGUAAGCGCAGGUCACUAGCCUGCGUUGAUUAAGUCCCUGCCCUUUGUACACACCGCCCGUCGCUACUACCGAUGGAUGAUUUGGUGAGGUCGCCUAGACUGGCUGCUGGCUUCGGCCGUGCGGCCGGGAAGACGCCCAAACUUGGUCGUCUAGAGGAAGUAAAAGUCGUAACAAGGUUUCC
RNAcentral lists this ribosomal RNA (1430 nucleotides) under Conopea sp. 3 MPL-2014. RNAcentral's name for it is "SSU rRNA". It matches the Rfam family "Eukaryotic small subunit ribosomal RNA", at positions 397 to 1804 of the family's 1831-position model. Lineage: Eukaryota; Metazoa; Arthropoda; Thecostraca; Balanomorpha; Balanidae. The record is from RNAcentral.